AUGGAUCCAGACGACGGGGCGGUUGUGAAACUCCAAGGCCAUGGCGGCCUCCUUCGGUUCCCUGUCCAAAACGAGACAGAGAAAGAGAGAGUUGAGAACAGGGAAGGGAAAGAAGGCAGAGAGAAGGAAGGGAAGAAGAAAAGAGCAGGGGAGGUCGGUCCUGGUCGCCGGUGGUCUGCUCCAGUGAGCUGGCCGGUGCUCGGGCGUCUGGAGCCUCACGCGCUAGUGGCUCCAAGAGAGGGACGACGAGCAGAGGAGCUCGGGCUCUUGCAGGAUUUGGGCGGCUUCACGAUUCAUUCGAGAUUAGGGGGAGAAGAGGUAAGCUUCGGGUGCCUGGGCAAGAAGUAG
This 348-nucleotide ribosomal RNA is filed under the name Triticum aestivum (bread wheat). RNAcentral's name for it is "partial small subunit ribosomal RNA". Lineage: Eukaryota; Viridiplantae; Streptophyta; Magnoliopsida; Poales; Poaceae. The record is from RNAcentral.